RNAcentral lists this ribosomal RNA (106 nucleotides) under Chryseotalea sanaruensis. The record is from RNAcentral. Lineage: Bacteria; Pseudomonadati; Bacteroidota; Cytophagia; Cytophagales; Chryseotaleaceae.
GGUGACUAUAGCGGUGGGGAUCACCUCUUCCCAUUCCGAACAGAGCAGUUAAGCCCACCAGCGCUGAUGGUACUUGGAUAACACCUGGGAGAGUAAGUCGUUGCCU